GCCCCAGUGGCCUAAUGGAUAAGGCACUAGUCUCCUAAGCCAGGGAUUGUGGGUUCAAGUCUCAUCUGGGGUG
RNAcentral lists this transfer RNA (73 nucleotides) under Albula goreensis. It matches the Rfam family "tRNA". From Rfam's summary of the family: Transfer RNA (tRNA) molecules are approximately 80 nucleotides in length. Their secondary structure includes four short double-helical elements and three loops (D, anti-codon, and T loops). Further hydrogen bonds mediate the characteristic L-shaped molecular structure. tRNAs have two regions of fundamental functional importance: the anti-codon, which is responsible for specific mRNA codon recognition, and the 3' end, to which the tRNAs corresponding amino acid is attached (by aminoacyl-tRNA synthetases). tRNAs cope with the degeneracy of the genetic code in two manners: having more than one tRNA (with a specific anti-codon) for a particular amino acid; and 'wobble' base-pairing, i.e. permitting non-standard base-pairing at the 3rd anti-codon position. Lineage: Eukaryota; Metazoa; Chordata; Actinopteri; Albuliformes; Albulidae. The record is from Rfam by way of RNAcentral.